AUUGAACGCUGGCGGCAGGCCUAACACAUGCAAGUCGGACGGUAGCACAGAGGAGCUUGCUCCUUGGGUGACGAGUGGCGGACGGGUGAGUAAUGUCUGGGGAUCUGCCCGAUAGAGGGGGAUAACCACUGGAAACGGUGGCUAAUACCGCAUAACGUCGCAAGACCAAAGAGGGGGACCCUCGGGCCUCUCACUAUCGGAUGAACCCAGAUGGGAUUAGCUAGUAGGCGGGGUAAUGGCCCACCUAGGCGACGAUCCCUAGCUGGUCUGAGAGGAUGACCAGCCACACUGGAACUGAUACACGGUCCAGACUCCUACGGGAGGCAGCAGUGGGGAAUAUUGCACAAUGGGCGCAAGCCUGAUGCGGCCAUGCCGCGUGUAUGAAGAAGGCCUUCGGGUUGUAAAGUACUUUCAGCGGGGAGGAAGGCGGUGAGGUUAAUAACCUUGCCGAUUGACGUUACCCGCAGAAGAAGCACCGGCUAACUCCGUGCCAGCCGCCGCCGUAA
This 506-nucleotide ribosomal RNA is filed under the name uncultured bacterium. RNAcentral describes it as "partial 16S ribosomal RNA". It matches the Rfam family "Bacterial small subunit ribosomal RNA", at positions 29 to 523 of the family's 1533-position model. The record is from RNAcentral.